CAUUUAAUACUUUCAAAUCACAUACUUAUGCAAAUACAAAUACAAUUACAUAUAUAAAUGUCCAAACAUUAAUAAAACUUAUACAAAUAUACUUACAUAUACAAAUAUACAAACAUACAUAUACUUGUACAAGUAUACAAACGUGUACAAAAUUAUAUACUUAUACAAAUACGCUGACCUACACGAUUUUAAAUAAAUUUUACUUAUCCGUUUACAUUUGACUUUAUCGUAUUGAAUUGAAAUUUAUGUCUGAUUGAGUACGGCGUCAUUACCGACUUGAAAAUAGCUUUCUUCGUAUACACCUGAUCAAUCAAAACUUCAUUAUGAUUUGAUCCUGCAAAAUUUGCUUGAAAUUACUCAUUUAUAGCAAUUACUUCAAUCUGUUCAAUAGGACCUGCAUCAAUUUAGUCAUUAUCUACUCCAAUAAGAUUUUCGAACAUUUGAUGAUUUGUGAGGAAAAACACAAAUUAAUUUUAUUAUACACUCAGUAAUCAAAAAUAUAAAAAUUCAACAAUCAGAACGAAUUCAUAAUCGUAAUAGUUAUUCGAAUUCAGAAAACAUAUACAAAAUCGAGAAUGAAUUCAAAAACAUAUUUUUCAAAAAAAAGUAUUUCAUGAAUUUUC
RNAcentral lists this long non-coding RNA (623 nucleotides) under Capsicum annuum. Its description in RNAcentral is "long non-coding RNA (CANN_LNC014617)". Lineage: Eukaryota; Viridiplantae; Streptophyta; Magnoliopsida; Solanales; Solanaceae. The record is from RNAcentral.